CUAGCAUACGAGGAGGCAAUGGUGGGAUACUACCCUGGCUGUAUGACCAUUCUAACCCGCCACGCUUAGCGCGUGGGGAGACAGUGUCAGGUGGGCAGUUUGACUGGGGCGGUCGCCUCCUAAAGAGUAACGGAGGCGCCCAAAGGUUCCCUCAGAAUGGAUGGAAAUCAUUCGCAGAGUGUAAAGGCACAAGGGAGCUUGACUGCGAGACUGACAAGUCGAGCAGGGACGAAAGUCGGGCUUAGUGAUCCGGUGGUUCCGCAUGGAAGGGCCAUCGCUCAACGGAUAAAAGCUACCCCGGGGAUAA
RNAcentral lists this ribosomal RNA (307 nucleotides) under Listeria ivanovii. RNAcentral's name for it is "partial 23S ribosomal RNA". It matches the Rfam family "Bacterial large subunit ribosomal RNA", at positions 2171 to 2477 of the family's 2925-position model. RNAcentral also lists the same sequence under 1 other name. The record is from RNAcentral. Lineage: Bacteria; Bacillati; Bacillota; Bacilli; Caryophanales; Listeriaceae.